UGGGGAAUUUUGGACAAUGGGCGAAAGCCUGAUCCAGCAAUGCCGCGUGUGUGAAGAAGGCCUUCGGGUUGUAAAGCACUUUUGUCCGGAAAGAAAUGGCUCUGGUUAAUACCUGGGGUCGAUGACGGUACCGGAAGAAUAAGGACCGGCUAACUACGUGCCAGCAGCCGCGGUAAUACGUAGGGUCCAAGCGUUAAUCGGAAUUACUGGGCGUAAAGCGUGCGCAGGCGGUUGUGCAAGACCGAUGUGAAAUCCCCGAGCUUAACUUGGGAAUUGCAUUGGUGACUGCACGGCUAGAGUGUGUCAGAGGGGGGUAGAAUUCCACGUGUAGCAGUGAAAUGCGUAGAGAUGUGGAGGAAUACCGAUGGCGAAGGCAGCCCCCUGGGAUAACACUGACGCUCAUGCACGAAAGCGUGGGGAGCAAACAGGAUUAGAUACCCUGGUAGUCCACGCCCUAAACGAUGUCAACUAGUUGUUGGGGAUUCAUUUCCUUAGUAACGUAGCUAACGCGUGAAGUUGGACCGCCUGGGGAGUACGGUCGCAAGAUU
This 548-nucleotide ribosomal RNA is filed under the name uncultured bacterium. Its description in RNAcentral is "partial 16S ribosomal RNA". It matches the Rfam family "Bacterial small subunit ribosomal RNA", at positions 355 to 895 of the family's 1533-position model. The record is from RNAcentral.